UAAUACCAGCUCCUCGAGUGGUUGGGAUGAUUAUUGGGUCUAAAGCGUCCGUAGCCGGCCGGAAAAGUUCUCCGUUAAACCCAACGAUUCAAUCGUUGGACUGCGGGGAAUACUCUUCGGCUUGGGGGCGGGGGAAGUCGGCGGUAGUCCAAGGGUAGGGGUGAAAUCCUAUAAUCCUUGGAGGACCACCAGUGGCGAAGGCGGCCGACCAAAACGCGCCCGACGGUGAGGGACGAAAGCUGGGGGAGCGAACGGGAUUAGAUACCCCGGUAGUCCCAGCUGUAAACGAUGUGGACUAGGUGUUGGGAUGGGUAAGUCCUAUCUCAGUGCCGCAGGGAAGCCGGUAAGUCCACCACCUGGGAAGUACGGCCGCAAGGUUG
This 380-nucleotide ribosomal RNA is filed under the name uncultured archaeon. Its description in RNAcentral is "bacterial SSU rRNA". It matches the Rfam family "Archaeal small subunit ribosomal RNA", at positions 471 to 851 of the family's 1478-position model. The record is from RNAcentral.